UCCUACGGGGCGCAGCAGUGGGGGAUAUUGCACAAUGGGGGAAACCCUGAUGCAGCGACGCCGCGUGAGGGAAGACGGCCUUCGGGUUGUAAACCUCUGUCGCAGGGGACGAAGGAAGUGACGGUACCUGACCAAGAAGCCCCGGCUAACUACGUGCCAGCAGCCGCGGUAAUACGUAGGGGGCAAGCGUUAUCCGGAUUUACUGGGUGUAAAGGGGGCGCAGACGGCAAUGCAAGCCAGGAGUGAAAGCCCGGGGCCCAACCCCGGGACUGCUCUUGGAACUGCAUGGCUGGAGUACAGGAGGG
This 305-nucleotide ribosomal RNA is filed under the name uncultured bacterium. Its description in RNAcentral is "bacterial SSU rRNA". It matches the Rfam family "Bacterial small subunit ribosomal RNA", at positions 337 to 656 of the family's 1533-position model. The record is from RNAcentral.